Long non-coding RNA from Dendronephthya gigantea, 505 nucleotides. RefSeq lists it as uncharacterized. Lineage: Eukaryota; Metazoa; Cnidaria; Anthozoa; Malacalcyonacea; Nephtheidae. The transcript has 3 exons. The record is from RefSeq and is a predicted model, not a curated record.
GUUAUAUUAUCUUUUAAAUCAAUCUUUGAAAAUACUAUACAAGGUAACAAGUUUUAGUAAACUAAAGAUGUAAAAGGCAUUUAUGGUGACCGGUUUGAUCUACCGUUCUCUCUAAAGUAUAACUGUAUGAAUUAAUGAUCUAGCUUCUUGUGGCUUGGAAUAUCAAGAUCUUCACAACAUUUAUACAAGAGCUGGUGAAAGAUGUAUUUCUCAAGUUGUCUUUUUCUCGUGUUGUGGGUGCAAAAUAGUUGGAAAGCAAGCUCGAACCCUCUUGUCAAAUCGCCUUUCUUUAUUAAGUCUAAGGAUGAUAAAACCCAACCUAGUCUCCUCAAACCGUGGCAUGAAGCUACAAAGAAUAUUCCCAGAAUGUAUAUGAGUACACAAAGGUUUCCACGUGGUCGUGAUUUUAAUUUGGCACAUAGAAAAGGAAAACUAGGUACCAAUAAAUUAAAACAAGAGAAAACUAUCUCAUCAAGAAAUAUUAUAGGUUUUCCGAUUUCGCAAA